RNAcentral lists this ribosomal RNA (550 nucleotides) under uncultured Diversisporales. RNAcentral describes it as "SSU rRNA". It matches the Rfam family "Eukaryotic small subunit ribosomal RNA", at positions 548 to 1098 of the family's 1831-position model. Lineage: Eukaryota; Fungi; Glomeromycota; Glomeromycetes; Diversisporales. The record is from RNAcentral.
UUGGAGGGCAAGUCUGGUGCCAGCAGCCGCGGUAAUUCCAGCUCCAAUAGCGUAUAUUAAAGUUGUUGCAGUUAAAAAGCUCGUAGUUGAAUUUCGGGGUUUAUCCGUUGGUCGGGCUUUUGGGUCUGUACUGGCGUGAUGAAUUCCUACCUUCUGAAUAACCAGCAUGCCAUUAAUUUGGUGCGCUGGGGAAGCAGGACUGUUACCUUGAAAAAAUUAGAGUGCUUAAAGCAGGCUAUUGCCUGAAUACAUUAGCAUGGAAUAAUGAAAUAGGACGCAUGGUUCUAUUUUGUUGGUUUCUAGGAUCACCGUAAUGAUUAAUAGGGAUAGUUGGGGGCAUUAGUAUUCAAUUGUCAGAGGUGAAAUUCUUGGAUUUAUUGAAGACUAACUUCUGCGAAAGCAUUUGCCAAGGAUGUUUUCAUUAAUCAAGAACGAAAGUUAGGGGAUUGAAGACGAUCAGAUACCGUCGUAGUCUUAACCAUAAACUAUGCCGACUAGGGAUCGGACGAUGUUAAUUUUUUAAUGACUCGUUCGGCGCCUUACGGGAAAC